This 509-nucleotide ribosomal RNA is filed under the name Candida albicans. RNAcentral's name for it is "LSU rRNA". It matches the Rfam family "Eukaryotic large subunit ribosomal RNA", at positions 60 to 545 of the family's 3401-position model. The record is from RNAcentral. Lineage: Eukaryota; Fungi; Ascomycota; Pichiomycetes; Serinales; Debaryomycetaceae.
AGAAACCAACAGGGAUUGCCUCAGUAGCGGCGAGUGAAGCGGCAAAAGCUCAAAUUUGAAAUCUGGCGUCUUUGGCGUCCGAGUUGUAAUUUGAAGAAGGUAUCUUUGGGCCCGGCUCUUGUCUAUGUUCCUUGGAACAGGACGUCACAGAGGGUGAGAAUCCCGUGCGAUGAGAUGACCCGGGUCUGUGUAAAGUUCCUUCGACGAGUCGAGUUGUUUGGGAAUGCAGCUCUAAGUGGGUGGUAAAUUCCAUCUAAAGCUAAAUAUUGGCGAGAGACCGAUAGCGAACAAGUACAGUGAUGGAAAGAUGAAAAGAACUUUGAAAAGAGAGUGAAAAAGUACGUGAAAUUGUUGAAAGGGAAGGGCUUGAGAUCAGACUUGGUAUUUUGCAUGCUGCUCUCUCGGGGGCGGCCGCUGCGGUUUACCGGGCCAGCAUCGGUUUGGAGCGGCAGGAUAAUGGCGGAGGAAUGUGGCACGGCUUCUGCUGUGUGUUAUAGCCUCUGACGAUA